RNAcentral lists this ribosomal RNA (253 nucleotides) under uncultured bacterium. RNAcentral describes it as "partial 16S ribosomal RNA". It matches the Rfam family "Bacterial small subunit ribosomal RNA", at positions 524 to 776 of the family's 1533-position model. The record is from RNAcentral.
UACGUAGGGGGCUAGCGUUGUCCGGAAUCAUUGGGCGUAAAGAGCGUGUAGGCUGCUCGUUAAGUCCGCUGUAAAAGUCAAAGGCUCAACCUUUGAAUGUCAGUGGAUACUGCCGGGCUAGAGUCCGGAAGAGGCGAGUGGAACUCCUGGUGUAGCGGUGGAAUGCGCAGAUAUCAGGAAGAACACCAACGGCGAAGGCAGCUCGCUGGGACGGUACUGACGCUGAGACGCGAAAGCGUGGGGAGCGAACAGG